This 1625-nucleotide long non-coding RNA is filed under the name Cinara cedri. Lineage: Eukaryota; Metazoa; Arthropoda; Insecta; Hemiptera; Aphididae. The record is from RNAcentral.
CAGUGAGUAAUAUUAUUGUAACCAGUUUUGAGAGAAAUAACUUUUGUCAGUGGAUGAACAUUAAUGAUACCAUUAAAUACCUACCUACUUCAAAACACAAAAUUAUUAUCAAUACUAAAUAAAAAGUACCAUAUGCAAACCAAUAUUACUUAAAAUUACCGUAUAGUGUAAUCAUUUAUUGUAUUUUUUAAAAUGUUCGACGCUGAUUUACAUCAUUCGUACUUUAUAAAACAUUUAUACUCGUAUAAUGUUUAACCACGUUUAUUAUGAAAUAUAUUGAAUUUAUACAGUAUUUUCACGUAAGAUAAUAAAAAAUGCGCCUUGAAAUAACAAAUAUUUCGAUUGAAAAAUAUUUUUCACAUUUUGUCACUGGCUUUUGGCUUGUGGAGGCAGUUAAAAAUAUAUUGUAGAAAACAUGAUAAUCCUCGUAAACGGUAAGAUUAUUCUAUUAUACUUUUAAUACAACGUUACGCGGAACAUAAGACUAAAGUAGAAGAAAUCCACGGGAAAAAUCGUAAUUAAAAAAUCACGAGUGCAAACAAUUGGAAAUUGUUUAUUAUUGACAAAAGAAUACACAAUUUACUAUGAUUCUAUAACAAUUAGAUUGAUUCAUUAUUUUAACAACAUUACCAAACUAUAGAAAUCGGUCUAUCAGCAAAAAUUAAUAUUUUUCAAUUAUUUACGUUCAAGACAGUUUCAUUAUAAAUAUUCUGUUAACAAGAUCAAAUAACUAAAACGUUUAAAAAUAUAUUUUGAACUGUAUAAAUUAAAAUGAAUAUGCAUGGAUAUCAUAAUAAAUUAUCAUUUAUUGGAUUUUUCGUCCGUGGCUUUUUUCACGCUGAAUUUUUCAUCCAAGAUUCCGUCGCACGCUUUGAGGUGGACAUCAACAACAACAAAAAUAACAACAACAACAACAACAAUAACAAUACGAUUAGUCAGCUUUAAAAAUAAUAACACAGCGUAAAUUGAUAUGCUUGACUGCUUAAAAAUACCCAAAAUUAAAUAAAAUAUUAUACGCUCAAAAAAUAAUUAUACGAGUACAUCAGAAUAAUUUAGGUAUUAUGAAUAGACAAUAGUCUUUAUUCCCGCCAAUGGCGUAUUUUAAGAUUUUUCAAUUAGUGACGUGGAGGGGUUGAGUUAAAUUAGUAAAAAAGCAAUCAUUCGGCUCCGACCCGUUAUGACUCAACUGAAUUUUUAUGAAAACUAUUAAAAAAAAAAAAGUAUAUAAAGUUGAGCCUACCGUUAGCAAAUAUUUGCUUUACAGCUGACGACUGUACAACAUAGCCCGUCGAGGGGUUGAGGUGAUUGUACCUUUUUAUCCUUUUGACGUAUAAAUACGCCACUGAUUCCCGGAUAGAAUGUCAUAACUUAUUUCGGGAUUUGUUUAUAUUGUAAUAGACUCAACGGUAGGUUUAAUUGGUACAACAUAAUAAACCGAACGAUUAAAUCUGCAGUCAGGUAUAGUGGUUGAUGAUUUAUUGAUAAACAUAUCUACAAUUUUCCAGACAAAUAUAAUAAUAUUGUAAAAACGUACCGUGAAAAAACAUUUCGGUAUACUGAACUCAAAUAUCUAGUUUUAUUUUGUUAUAUUUUAUUUCUUUUUCUACAUAAAUUCACUCAUCUAA